This 435-nucleotide ribosomal RNA is filed under the name Triticum aestivum (bread wheat). Its description in RNAcentral is "partial small subunit ribosomal RNA". The record is from RNAcentral. Lineage: Eukaryota; Viridiplantae; Streptophyta; Magnoliopsida; Poales; Poaceae.
CUUGAGACUCCACUAGAAAAAUUAUUUCAUGAGACAUCAAACUAUCAUGCCCUUCGUACCUUUGGGUGCGCAUGUUGGCCCAACCUCCGUCCUUUUAAUGCUCGCAAGCUCGAAUUUCGCUCCAAACAAUGUGUAUUCCUUGGCUACAGUAACCUUCACAAAGGUUUCAAGUGUCCAGACAUAACUGUUGGACGUGUUUAUAUUUCCCGUGACGUCGUGUUUGAUGAAACAGUGUUCCCUUUUGCCAAAUUAAACCCCAAUGCCGGUGCUCUUAUCAGACCCGAAGUCCUUCUUCUCUCUGAAAAUUCCUCCUCCUUACAUCUUGAUCAUGGGGACGGACAUAUAGCUAAUGAUCACUUGGGUAAUUCCGAUAAAAAUUCUGCUAUAAAUUUCGGAGGAAAUCCGGUUGUGCACUAUGAUUUUAUGCAGCAGCAG